RNAcentral lists this ribosomal RNA (498 nucleotides) under Porphyromonas cangingivalis. RNAcentral describes it as "bacterial SSU rRNA". It matches the Rfam family "Bacterial small subunit ribosomal RNA", at positions 9 to 490 of the family's 1533-position model. The record is from RNAcentral. Lineage: Bacteria; Pseudomonadati; Bacteroidota; Bacteroidia; Bacteroidales; Porphyromonadaceae.
GAGUUUGAUCCUGGCUCAGGAUGAACGCUAGCGAUAGGUUUAACACAUGCAAGUCGAGGGGCAGCACGGGAUUAGCUUGCUAAUCUUGGUGGCGACCGGCGUAAGGGUGCGUAACGCGUAUGCAACUUGCCUGUCAGUGGGGAAUAACCCGGAGAAAUCCGGACUAAUGCCGCAUACACUUUAGUUUCCGCAUGGGGACUUUAGGAAAGAUUUAUUGCUGACAGAUAGGCAUGCGUUCCAUUAGAUAGUUGGUGAGGUAACGGCUCACCAAGUCGACGAUGGAUAGGGGAGCUGAGAGGCUUAUCCCCCACACUGGAACUGAGACACGGUCCAGACUCCUACGGGAGGCAGCAGUGAGGAAUAUUGGUCAAUGGGCGAGAGCCUGAACCAGCCAAGUCGCGUGAAGGAAGACGGUCCUAUGGAUUGUAAACUUCUUUAGUAGGUGAGUACAAAGCAGUUAACGUGUAAGCUGUAAAGCAAAUAAACCUAAAGAAUAAA